This 1022-nucleotide ribosomal RNA is filed under the name uncultured bacterium. Its description in RNAcentral is "bacterial SSU rRNA". It matches the Rfam family "Bacterial small subunit ribosomal RNA", at positions 338 to 1378 of the family's 1533-position model. The record is from RNAcentral.
UCUACGGGAGGCAGCAGUGGGGAAUAUGCGCAUGGCGGAAGCUGACGCAGCGACGCGCGUGGGGGAUGACGGCUUCGGGUGUAAACUCUUUCAGCAGGGACGAAGCCGCAAGGUGACGGUACUGCAGAAGAAGCACCGGCCCAACUACGUGCCAGCAGCCGCGGUAAUACGUAGGGUGCAAGCGUUGUCCGGAAUUAUUGGGCGUAAAGAGCUCGUAGGCGGUUUGUUGCGUCGGCUGUGAAAUCCCGAGGCUCAACCUCGGGUCUGCAGUCGAUACGAGCAAACUAGAGUGUUGCAGGGGAGACUGGAAUUCCUGGUGUAGCGGUGAAAUGCGCAGAUAUCAGGAGGAACACCGGUGGCGAAGGCGGGUCUCUGGGCAACAACUGACGCUGAGGAGCGAAAGCGUGGGGAGCGAACAGGAUUAGAUACCCUGGUAGUCCACGCCGUAAACGUUGGGCGCUAGGUGUGGGGCUCAUUCCACGAGUUCCGUGCCGCAGCUAACGCAUUAAGCGCCCCGCCUGGGGAGUACGGCCGCAAGGCUAAAACUCAAAGGAAUUGACGGGGGCCCGCACAAGCGGCGGAGCAUUUUGCUUAAUUCGAUGCAACGCGAAGAACCUUACCUAGGCUUGACAUGCACGGAAAUCCUCCAGAGAUGGGGGGUCCGUAAGGGCCGUGCACAGGUGGUGCAUGGUUGUCGUCAGCUCGUGUCGUGAGAUGUUGGGUUAAGUCCCGCAACGAGCGCAACCCUCGUCCUAUGUUGCCAGCACGUCAUGGUGGGGACUCAUAGGAGACUGCCGGGGUCAACUCGGAGGAAGGUGGGGAUGACGUCAAAUCAUCAUGCCCCUUAUGUCUAGGGCUGCAAACAUGCUACAAUGGCCGGUACAAAGGGCUGCGAUACCGCGAGGUGGAGCGAAUCCCAAAAAGCCGGUCUCAGUUCGGAUUGGGGUCUGCAACUCGACCCCAUGAAGUUGGAGUCGCUAGUAAUCGCAGAUCAGCAACGCCGCGGUGAAUACGUUCCCGGG